UACGUAGGGUGCGAGCGUUGUCCGGAAUUAUUGGGCGUAAAGAGCUUGUAGGCGGUUUGUCGCGUCUGCUGUGAAAUUUCGGGGCUCAACCCCGAACUUGCAGUGGGUACGGGCAGACUAGAGUGUGGUAGGGGAGACUGGAAUUCCUGGUGUAGCGGUGAAAUGCGCAGAUAUCAGGAGGAACACCGAUGGCGAAGGCAGGUCUCUGGGCCGCUACUGACGCUGAGGAGCGAAAGCGUGGGGAGCGAACAGG
This 253-nucleotide ribosomal RNA is filed under the name uncultured bacterium. RNAcentral describes it as "partial 16S ribosomal RNA". It matches the Rfam family "Bacterial small subunit ribosomal RNA", at positions 524 to 776 of the family's 1533-position model. The record is from RNAcentral.